Non-coding RNA from Sturnus vulgaris (Common starling), 1434 nucleotides. NCBI's taxonomy places the organism in Eukaryota, Metazoa, Chordata, Aves, Passeriformes, Sturnidae. The record is from RefSeq and is a predicted model, not a curated record.
AAUUCAGUGUGUGUUUUUCUGAGACAGUGAUUAAUCUGCACUUUACCGCGGCAUAUUUCCUUGUGUCUAAUGUUAUUCUUAAUGGUUCUUACACACCCCUUUCAGGAAUACAUCUGAAAGCACUUUGCAAAGGUAAUCUCUACAACAAACUUCUCUGUUUAUUUUACAGAUGAGCAAUUCAGGCAAAAAAAAAAAUCACGAAUCCCUAUAAAACAGCAGGAUCAGGAAUCACGUUUGCACUCACAUCACUUGGGCCAGUAACAGGAACAUGGCUCUCAUUGCAAGAAGGCCUUGGCUGUUGGAGCUGGCUGGAGCAGUUGAUCAGCUUACCUACUGUCUUGCCAGGAUCAGGGCUUGAGUGAGGGCAAGCUGGCUGUGACCCAACCCAGAUAAGUCAAAGGUUGUGCUAACAGGUUGGGGAAGAGAAGAAGCUGGGAGAACUUCUGCUCUCUAUGACAAUAGCUUGCUUUUUAUUGUUCAGCUUUCCAGACCCAGAGACCUUUGUAUACUGGCUUCUGACCAUCAAUUAAUAAUAAGAAGAAUGAAAGAUGGUCUGUUUGCUUUUUGUUGGGCUGCUUUUCUGGACCAGAAGGUGGAGCCCAUUCUUUUGAACAUGGGUCUUUCCUAUACCAAGUCAUCUAGAGAGUGGACUUCAAAAACUGUCCCUUAAUCAGGAGCAAUGCAAGCUUUCCUCUGCCCAGGCCAAAGCAGGAGUUUGAUGUGCAGCUUCCCCUGCCCACAGUGGUGGCAGUAAACAGAACUGCACAGUAAACAGAAAUAAGAUGCAAAAGCAUUUGCAUCCCGUGCAGUGGAUGCUGGAAAUGUGGGUAUCCACAGGACAGGUUCUUCAUCCUGAGGCUGGUUGGCAGAGCCUAGGCAUCCCAGAUAAUGCUUAUUUGUCAUCCUUGGAAGAAUAAGUUCCUCCUUUAUGUAGCUUUUCUGCUGUUCACAGGUACAAAGGGAUAGCCCUUUUAGCAGGGCCUGUUGUGAUGAAACAAGGCAUAACGGCUUUAAACUAAAAAAGUGUUGAUUUAUACUACAAUUUUUAUUACAAAAAAGGCAGUGAAACACUGACAGGUUUCCCAGAGAGGUAGUGAAUGCCCUGUCCCCAAGAACAUUCAAGGUCAGGUUGGACAGGGCUCUGAGCAAACUGAUCUAGCUGGAGAUGUCCCUACUCAGGACAAGGAGGUUGGAUGAGAUAACCUUUAAAAGUCUUCUCCAACACAAACUAUUCCAUGAUUCAAUGAUCCUAUGACUUAAUGUCUCUGUAUUGUGACCUUUCCUCAUUCAGAUGAGUGCAAGCAAAUCAGCAUUUUGCUUGACCUAACAAACAAGAGCCUAGAUGCAAAUGCUAGAAACAAAUAUGGAAUUUUUCACAGAACAAAACUGCCUGGGUGGCAGUCAGCCUCGUCAUGGUGCUGAGCCAUGAGCCAU